AGUAUAGAGCACUGGCAAAAGUGGAAGAGAAGCAGAUAAAGGAAGGGAUUAUAGAGUUAGAUAGGUUUAUUGGAUUCAAACCCUCCCCUGAUUGCUUAGAAUUGAGAGGUUGGUUGUAUGUUGCACUUGAGGACUAUGACAGUGCAAUGAGAGAUAUUAGGGCACUGCUAACCAUUGAACCAAAUUACAUAACUUCACAUGGGAAGAUCAAAGGGGAAUACUUGCUCCAACUUCUAAACUGUGAAGUUCAGCAAAAGUGUCAGGCUGAUUGCUGGAUGCAGUUAUACCAACAAUGGUCGUGUGUUGAUGAUAUUGGUUCUUUGGCUAUUAUACAUCAGAUGUUAGACAAUGAGCCUGGAAAGAGUGUGCUACAGUUUCGUCAGUCUCUACUCCCAUUGAGGUUAGUAUAUCUACAACUCAACUAAAAAUAUCUCCUCUUUAACUUUAUUCUCACUGUGUUUAUUGUCACAUUGUCAAGGAUCCUUAGGACUUGAGUAUGAAUGUUUGACAAUGACUAGCUUGUUACAUUUACAA
Glycine soja is the source of this 534-nucleotide long non-coding RNA. RefSeq lists it as uncharacterized. The transcript is spliced from 2 exons. NCBI's taxonomy places the organism in Eukaryota, Viridiplantae, Streptophyta, Magnoliopsida, Fabales, Fabaceae. The record is from RefSeq and is a predicted model, not a curated record.